This 495-nucleotide ribosomal RNA is filed under the name uncultured bacterium. Its description in RNAcentral is "partial 16S ribosomal RNA". It matches the Rfam family "Bacterial small subunit ribosomal RNA", at positions 28 to 507 of the family's 1533-position model. The record is from RNAcentral.
GACGAACGCUGGCGGCGUGCCUAAUACAUGCAAGUAGAACGCUGAAGGAGGAGCUUGCUCUUCUGGAUGAGUUGCGAACGGGUGAGUAACGCGUAGGUAACCUGCCUGGUAGCGGGGGAUAACUAUUGGAAACGAUAGCUAAUACCGCAUAAGAGUAGAUGUUGCAUGACAUUUACUUAAAAGGUGCAAUUGCAUCACUACCAGAUGGACCUGCGUUGUAGUAGCUAGUUGGUGGGGUAACGGCUUACCAAGGCGACGAUACAUAGCCGACCUGAGAGGGGUAUCGGCCACACUGGGACUUAGACACGGCCCAGACCUCCACGGGAGGCAGCAGUAGGGAAUCUUCGGCAAUGGACGGAAGUCUGAACGAGCAACGCCGCGUGAGGGAAGAAGGGUUUCGGAUCGUAAAGCUCUGUUGUAAGAGAAGAACGAGUGUGAGAGUGGAAAGUUCACACUGUGACGGUAUCUUACCAGAAAGGGACGGCUAACUACGUG